This 512-nucleotide ribosomal RNA is filed under the name Ecitocryptus sp. JP-2017. RNAcentral's name for it is "partial 16S ribosomal RNA". The stretch from base 386 to 512 matches the Rfam family "Bacterial large subunit ribosomal RNA", at positions 2473 to 2600 of the family's 2925-position model. The record is from RNAcentral. Lineage: Eukaryota; Metazoa; Arthropoda; Insecta; Coleoptera; Staphylinidae.
GUCUUUUUGAGUAUAAUUUAAAGUCUGGCCUGCCCACUGAUUUAUUGAAUGGCCGCAGUAUUUUGACUGUGCAAAGGUAGCAUAAUCAUUAGUUUUUUAAUUAAGAACUGGAAUGAAAGGUUGAACGAGAAAAUAACUGUCUCUUUAUAAAUUAUUUAGAAUUUUAUUUUUAAGUUAAAAAGCUUAAAUAAAAUUAAAAGACGAGAAGACCCUAUAGAGUUUAAUAUAAUAAUAAAUAAUUAUUUAAUUUGAAUUUUUUAAUUAUUAAUUAUUUUUAUAUUUGAUUGGGGUGAUUAAAAAAUUUAUUGAACUUUUUUUUUAUUAAAACAUUUAUUUAUGAUAAAUUGAUCCAUUAUUAAUGAUUAUAAGAUUAAAUUACCUUAGGGAUAACAGCGUUAUUUCUUUUAAGAGUUCUAAUCGAUAAAGAAGUUUGCGACCUCGAUGUUGGAUUAAAAUUAAAUUUUGGUGUAGAAGCUAAAAUAUUAGGUCUGUUCGACCUUUAAAAUUUUACA